This 378-nucleotide ribosomal RNA is filed under the name Pinnularia sp. NE-L13. Its description in RNAcentral is "SSU rRNA". It matches the Rfam family "Eukaryotic small subunit ribosomal RNA", at positions 582 to 968 of the family's 1831-position model. RNAcentral also lists the same sequence under 1 other name. Lineage: Eukaryota; Bacillariophyta; Bacillariophyceae; Sellaphorales; Pinnulariaceae. The record is from RNAcentral.
AUUCCAGCUCCAAUAGCGUAUAUUAAAGUUGUUGCAGUUAAAAAGCUCGUAGUUGGAUUUGUGGUGCUACCUGCAGUCCAAUUAGUUUUGGUGCUAGCGGGUGGUGCCAUCUUUGGGUGGAACCUGUAGGGCAUUAGCUUGUUUUGCAGGGGAUAUCCAUCGUUUACUGUGAAAAAAUUAGAGUGUUCAAAGCAGGCUUACGCCGAUGAAUAUACUAGCAUGGAAUAAUGAAAUAGGACUUUGGUACUAUUUUGUUGGUUUGCGCGCCAAAGUAAUGAUUAAUAGGGACAGUUGGGGGUAUUCGUAUUCCAUAGUCAGAGGUGAAAUUCUUGGAUUUUUGGAAGACGAACUACUGCGAAAGCAUUUACCAAGGAUGUU